This 120-nucleotide small nucleolar RNA is filed under the name Tupaia belangeri (northern tree shrew). RNAcentral's name for it is "Small nucleolar RNA SNORA31 (ENSTBEG00000020769.1)". The record is from RNAcentral. Lineage: Eukaryota; Metazoa; Chordata; Mammalia; Scandentia; Tupaiidae.
CAGACAGACCUAGAGCAGUUACUGUCUACUGCUCAAGUUUCCACUACAGAUUCAAGAAAAAAGUUCCUUUAUGCUUUCUGUCUGAUUGUGGCAGCUAAGACUAAAGAGAGGAAUACAGGG